GGCUGGGCACGCCGGGCCGAGGAGGGCUGCGUCAUGCCGGGGGCGGGGCUCCGGGGCCGGCGCGAGGCGCGGCGGGUCACGUGGGUCGCGGCGCGGGCUAUAAGUAGGGGCCGGCGGCGUGCCCCGCUAGAGUGAUGGCUGCCGGCGUUCGCUGCGUGCUUCUUUUUCUCGGCUGCUGAGGCCCCCCCCCCCCCGUGGCUGCUUCCUGGGUAAGUCGUGAGUCCCGCGGAGCUGUCCCCGGUGCCGCCAACCCGGGCCGUGUGCUCGCCGACCGCAGGCGCGACCCGUGGCUCCCGCCGUUGCCUCGAUCUCCUCGUCUCCCGCUCCGCCCUCCCUUUUCCCUGGAUGAACUUGCGUCCUUUCUCUUCUCCGCCAUGGAAUUCUGCUCCGUGCUUUUAGUCCUCCUGAGCCAAAGAAACCCCAGACAACAGAUGCCCAUACGCAGCGUAUAGCAGUAACUCCCCAGCUCGGUUUCUGUGCCAUAGUUUACAUUAUUUAUUAUAGCAAUUUUGAUACCUCAUAUUCUGUUUACACAUCCUGAAAGCCGCUCAGUAGUUCUCUUACUAAACAACCACUACUCUAGAGAAUGGCAACGCUGAUUACCCAUACUACAGCUGCUACCGCCGCUUCUGGUCCUUUGGUGGACCACCUAUGGAUGCUCACCCUGGGCUUCGUUAUUGCAUUUGUCUUGGCAUUCUCCGUGGGAGCCAAUGAUGUAGCAAAUUCUUUUGGUACAGCUGUGGGCUCAGGUGUAGUGACCCUGAAGCAAGCCUGCAUCCUAGCUAGCAUCUUUGAAACAGUGGGCUCUGUCUUAAUGGGGGCCAAAGUGAGCGAAACCAUCCGGAAGGGCCUGAUUGACGUGGAGAUGUACAACUCGACCCAAGGGCUGCUGAUGGCCGGCUCAGUCAGUGCUAUGUUUGGUUCUGCUGUGUGGCAACUCGUUGCUUCGUUUUUGAAGCUCCCCAUUUCUGGAACUCAUUGUAUUGUUGGUGCAACCAUUGGUUUCUCCCUCUUGGCAAAGGGGCAGGAGGGUGUCAAGUGGUCUGAACUGAUAAAAAUUGUGAUGUCUUGGUUCGUGUCCCCGCUACUUUCUGGAAUUAUGUCUGGAAUUUUAUUCUUCCUAGUUCGUGCAUUCAUCCUCCAUAAGGCAGAUCCAGUUCCUAAUGGUUUGCGAGCUUUGCCAGUUUUCUAUGCCUGCACAGUUGGAAUAAACCUCUUUUCCAUCAUGUAUACUGGAGCACCAUUGCUGGGCUUUGACAAACUUCCUCUGUGGGGUACCAUCCUCAUCUCGGUGGGAUGUGCAGUUUUCUGUGCCCUUAUCGUCUGGUUCUUUGUAUGUCCCAGGAUGAAGAGAAAAAUUGAAUGAGAAAUAAAGUGUAGUCCUUCUGAAAGCCCCUUAAUGGAAAAAAAGAAUAGCUUGAAAGAAGACCAUGAAGAAACAAAGUUGUCUGUCAGUGAUAUUGGGAACAGGAAUCCUGUUUCUGAGAUAGGGCCUGCCACUCUGCCCCUCCAGGCUGUGGUGGAGGAGAGAACAGUCUCAUUCAAACUUGGAGAUUUGGAGGAAGCUCCAGAGCGAGAGAGGCUUCCCAGCGUGGACUUGAAAGAGGAAACCAGCAUAGAUAGCACCGUGAAAGGUGCAGUGCAGUUGCCUAAUGGGAACCUUGUCCAGUUCAGUCAAGCUGUCAGCAACCAAAUAAACUCCAGUGGCCACUACCAGUAUCACACCGUGCAUAAGGAUUCUGGCUUGUACAAAGAGUUGCUCCAUAAAUUACAUCUGGCCAAGGGGGGAGAUUGCAUGGGAGAAUCUGGUGACAAACCCUUAAGGCGCAAUAAUAGCUAUACUUCCUAUACCAUGGCAAUAUGUGGCAUGCCUCUGGAUUCAUUCCGUGCCAAAGAAGGUGAACAGAAGGGCGAAGAAAGAGAAGCUGACGUGGCCUAAUGGAGACUCCAGGAAGCGAAUCUGAAUGGACAGUUUACACUAGUUACUGCAAUGCUGUGUCUGACCUUCACUCGGCAUCUGAGACAGACAUGAGUGUCAAGGCAGAGAUGGGUCUAGGUGACAGAAAAGGAAGUCAUGGCUCUCUGGAAGAGUGGAAUGACCAGGAUAAGCCUGAAGUCUCUCUCCUCUUCCAGUUCCUGCAGAUCCUUACAGCCUGCUUUGGGUCAUUCGCCCAUGGUGGCAAUGACGUAAGCAAUGCCAUUGGGCCUCUGGUUGCUUUAUAUUUGGUUUAUGACACAGGAGAUGUUUCUUCAAAAGUGGCAACACCAAUAUGGCUUUUACUCUAUGGUGGUGUUGGUAUCUGUAUUGGUCUGUGGGUUUGGGGAAGAAGAGUUAUCCAGACCAUGGGGAAGGAUCUGACACCGAUCACACCCUCUAGGUAAGUAGGUGGAGCAGGUUCUACAAAUGUCAGUACUCAUUUUUUUCAGAGAUACAAUACUGUCGAGUGCUAACACAAAUCUCUUGUUGAAUGUAACCGACUGGGGGACCCAGGCCCCCGCGAUCCGGGGCCCACAGCCGCCGCCCCGCCCUGCACCCACGGCAGCUGGCGGACCCCGACCGCCAGGGCCUGGGGGACCCAGGCUCACGCGAUCCUGGGCCCACCGUCGCCGCCCUGCCGCGCCCCCACGGAGGCUGGCGGCCCUGGACCGCCGGGGACUGGGUGACCCAGGCCCCCCCAUCCCGUCCGCCCAGCCGCCGCCCCGCCCCCAAGGCGCCUGGUGGCCCCGGACCGCCGGGACCUGGGGGACCCAGGAUCCCGCGAUCCGGACCGCCCAGCCGCUGCCCCGACCCGCCCCCACGGCCCGCGCGAUCCUGGUACCCCAGCCGCCGCUCCGCCCCGACCCCACGGCGGCUGGCGGAACCCGACAGCUGGGGACUGGGAACCCAGGUCCCCUUGAUCCGGGGCCCCCAGCCGCCGCCCUGCCCCGCCCCCAUGGCUGAUGGCGGCCCGGAUCGCCGGGACUUGGGGGACCCAGGCCCCCGCGAUCCGGGCCAACCAGCCACCGCCC
This is an RNA transcript of Rhinopithecus roxellana (golden snub-nosed monkey), 3009 nucleotides long. It is a transcript of the gene named sodium-dependent phosphate transporter 1-like, with no coding region annotated. The transcript is spliced from 9 exons. The record is from RefSeq and is a predicted model, not a curated record. NCBI's taxonomy places the organism in Eukaryota, Metazoa, Chordata, Mammalia, Primates, Cercopithecidae.